Long non-coding RNA from Oncorhynchus tshawytscha (Chinook salmon), 1870 nucleotides. The record is from Ensembl. Lineage: Eukaryota; Metazoa; Chordata; Actinopteri; Salmoniformes; Salmonidae.
UGUGAAAUCAAUAUCAAGAGCAACACUAACACUUUUCACCUUAGACAAGUUUAAUGAACCUCUAUAAUAUACAGUAUGGUGUUGUGUGUAAAUUGAUUGAAUAACUUCAAGAAGCUAUUUGUCAUUGUUAAGCAAUUCAACUUACCAUACAUCUCUUUGACUCAGUCUCCAUUUAUUAUUGCACAGGUCUGAAUGUGGGGUCUACAGUCCCAUAUGCUUGGGACUAGGGACUCUAUUCAAUCAGAUCCACUUUAGCUGACACCCGCAGAGAGAUUGUUUUGGCGGUGUCAGAGAUUGAACUGUGUUAGAGCUGUCAAAUCCACAAGUGGCUCCUGGAAUUAUACCUUUGCCAUUGGCAAAUGAACAAAGUCGCAUUAAGAGAAAUCCCAUGCAGCCUUGUUUACAAGUCCGAACACUGGAAUGUGAGAACACUGGAAUGUAAUCUACACCUCGAUUAGGCUGAUAGAAUCACUCAUUAUUUUGUUUAAUGAUCUUAAAUUUGAGCGUCAUUAUUUCUUUAUAGCCUUCACUUUCUCAUUCGAAAGUGAUCCUACUGAAACAACAGUUUCACUAAGGAAGGGUGAGGAUUGCCCCCUAUCGGCCUAUUACUGUUACCACAAACAAUUCCCCAAAAGUUCCAUCCAUCCAUCCAUCCAAAGAGGGUAUAGUUUGAACAAUACAUUUUAUCAUGUUAUUGCAGAGUUAUUUAUUCAAAUAAAUAUGCAAUGCAUACACUUUGUUUUCCAUAUUAUUUCACAUAAAUAUUCAAACAGGGUUUGUCCAUGGUAGAGAUGCCAAGGUUUAAAUGCUUUUUCUGUUUUGUCUAACCAAAACAAUAUUACUAUCUGGAUCCACUGUUCUAAACACCGUUUUAUGUCAGGGGUGACAAUAGUGAUACUCCAAUUUAGAAUUGUCUGUGUUAACUCACUUUACUUUAUAACGCUAUAUAUUCUGUGUGUGUAUAGCUAAAUAAUUUAACUUUAUUGUGCCAGCUUGCAAGUCAAGAAUUCACUAAUAUUCAUAAUAAUCAUAGUUAAUAAUAUAGAAUAUUGAACAUGUAUUAUUUACAAUCUAAAAAAUGUUACUGUGUGUGUCAGGUUAAAUUGUGAAAACAUCUUGAAAUAUAUAAAACUUUAGGGUUUAGACAAAUAUUUUGCAGAUAUAGAAUAAAAUGUAUCUACUAUGCUUUUUUUGUUGUCUAAUCACACAUUAGCAACGCUACUCUAAGUUCUGAUGAAAAUCGAAGAGAAACAGUCAUGCAAGGUUAUUACAGUCAAUCAUCCAAACAUAUAAUAUUAAAUGUCAUUCUGUACAAGGAGAUCAGUCAGACUGUUUAGAAAAUAAAAGGAUAGUCACCCCCUAAUCAAAGUUUGUCAGAUGUUUUCAUAACUUCAAAGGUGAGCUAUAUUCCACACCAUCUAUUGUGUAGAUCCUGCCCGCUAUAUUGCAUUAGGAGAAAUCUAAAAGCUAUGAAAUCCAUAUUAAGUGGAAAAAUGUCUAACAUCUAUAGACAAAAAAUGGCAUGGAACAGAAACUAUGUUAAUCUUUAUAACAGACCAUUAUUGAGAUAUGAAAUACUCUCACAAACAUUCAAUGAUUUGGGAGUAAACUAUUCCUUUAAGUGCUGAGCAAGAAACAAUUAUUAUGAGCCACAAAGAUUCUUAACUCUCGAUUACAUUUAAACUAAUAAAAAAAGAUCAGUUGUCACAAUGUAUUUCAAAAGUACACAGCAUUACACAGCAUUCUCUCUUUAUGCAUUUCCAUGGUGACUCACAUCGUCAGGUGUCUCACGAUGGCUUGUCACCUUCUUUCUUCAGACGGCUGUGGAGGAAAAUAACAUUAAUAAACUAAACCCAGCAAAAAAAGAAAC